GGUUGAUCCUGCCAGUAACAUGCUUGUCUCAAAUACUAAGCCAUGCAUGUCUAAGCUUUAUUGUGAAACUGCGUACAGCUCAUUAUAUCAGCAAUUAUUUAUUUGAUGGUUCCUUACUACAUGGAUAACCGUGGUAAUUCUAGAGCUAAUACAUGCGCAAAGUCCCGACUCUCGCGGGGAGGGAUGUAUUUAUUAAAUUCAAAACCAAUGCGGGCUCUGCCCGAUAACUGAUCGAAUCGCAUGGCUUCACGCUGGCGAUAGUUCACUCAAAUUUCUGCCCUAUCAGCUUAGC
Molecule: ribosomal RNA, 292 nt
Filed under: uncultured eukaryote
Lineage: Eukaryota
Description: partial 18S ribosomal RNA
Rfam family: Eukaryotic small subunit ribosomal RNA
Source: RNAcentral